Flavobacterium subsaxonicum is the source of this 65-nucleotide regulatory RNA element. It matches the Rfam family "S15-Flavobacteria ribosomal protein leader". The record is from Rfam. NCBI's taxonomy places the organism in Bacteria, Pseudomonadati, Bacteroidota, Flavobacteriia, Flavobacteriales, Flavobacteriaceae.
UAACUUUGCACCCAAAUUAGGAUAAACCUAAUCUACAUAAUAAUUAUUUAAAGAAUAUUAGCAUG